This 454-nucleotide ribosomal RNA is filed under the name Terrahaemophilus aromaticivorans. RNAcentral's name for it is "bacterial SSU rRNA". It matches the Rfam family "Bacterial small subunit ribosomal RNA", at positions 30 to 478 of the family's 1533-position model. The record is from RNAcentral. Lineage: Bacteria; Pseudomonadati; Pseudomonadota; Gammaproteobacteria; Pasteurellales; Pasteurellaceae.
AUUGAACGCUGGCGGCAGGCUUAACACAUGCAAGUCGAACGGUAACAUAAAGAAGCUUGCUUCUUUGAUGACGAGUGGCGGACGGGUGAGUAAUGCUUGGGAAUCUAGCUUAUGGAGGGGGAUAACUACGGGAAACUGUAGCUAAUACCGCGUAGAAUCGGGAGAUGAAAGUGUGGGACCUUCGGGCCACAUGCCAUAGGAUGAGCCCAAGUGGGAUUAGGUAGUUGGUGAGGUAAAGGCUCACCAAGCCGACGAUCUCUAGCUGGUCUGAGAGGAUGACCAGCCACACUGGGACUGAGACACGGCCCAGACUCCUACGGGAGGCAGCAGUGGGGAAUAUUGCGCAAUGGGGGCAACCCUGACGCAGCCAUGCCGCGUGAAUGAAGAAGGCCUUCGGGUUGUAAAGUUCUUUCGGUAGCGAGGAAGGCAUUUAGUUUAAUAAACUGGAUGAUUG